UACGCUACUUUGCAGCCGCUUGUUCGUUUUUUCCAAGCGCAGAGUCUAAUUUUGCCUUUGAUUAUGAGCUCAGUCUCUUCUCUCUGUGUCCACGUUGUCCUCUGUUGGAGCUUGGUCUUUAAGUUUGGUCUUGGGAGCCUCGGUGCAGCUAUUGCGCUUGACGUUUCUUACUGGCUAAACGUGAUUGUUCUUGGAUUAUACAUGACGUUUUCUUCUAGCUGUAGCAAGAGCCGUGCAACUAUCUCCAUGAGUGUGUUUAAAGGAAUGGGAGAGUUUUUCCGGUUUGGAGUCCCAUCUGCCCUUAUGAUUUGGUAUAUCAACUUCUCUUCAUGCCUCUUUUGGUUAAGUCACAGAGUUGUUGAAAUUUGAAUUAAUUGGCUUGAAUCUUUGUGGUGUUGAAUUAGCCUCGAGUGGUGGUCAUUCGAAAUUCUGCUCUUACUCUCUGGGAUCUUACCAAAUCCAAAGCUAGAAGCCUCUGUUCUCUCAAUCUGGUAUGUUCUUUUCAUCUUCUAAUGAUUUUGUGUUGGAAUGGACUAUUAUCAUAUACAACUCAGUUGCUUUCAUUCUUGUUUAACAGUCUAUCAACAAUCAACAUCGUGUACCAAAUAGCAGCUAGUCUCGGCGCAGCAGCAAGGUUCUUUCUUGCUCAAUUUCCCAAUUUGGCAACAUAUCUAACUAAAAUAUCUCUCUGUUGUUAUUGUUGACUUGUUGUUGCAGUACAAGAGUUGCAAACGAAUUAGGAGCUGGAAAACCGAAACAAGCUCGAAUGGCGGUUUACACAGUGAUGGUCAUUACAGGUGUAGAAUCAAUAAUGGUGAGCGCAAUAGUUUUUAGUGCAAGAAACGUUUAUGGUUACCUAUUUAGCUCUGAAACCGAAGUUGUGGAUUAUGAAAGAUCAAUGGUUCCAUUGGUUGCUUUAUCGGUCAUAUUCGAUGCUUUUCACGCAGUUCUUGCGGGUUAGAUUCUUCUCUAGCUCCUUCAAUAAUGUCAAAGUCAUGAAUGAAGUUAAUGAUUAAUACUGUGUUAUUGGUGGAACUGCAUUUGCAGGUGUGACUAGAGGAUCAGGGAGGCAAGAUAUUGGGGCUUACGUAAACCUAGCAGCAUACUAUCUCUUUGGGAUACCAACUGCUAUAAUAUUAGCUUUUAGGUUUAAAAUGAGAGGAAGAGGAAUCUGGAUUGGGAUCACAGUUGGGUCCUUUGUGCAAGCUGUUUUGCUCGGUUUUCUUGUCAUCCUUACCAACUGGAAACAACAGGUAAGUAAAGUGAGACUGAUGUCCUUUUAAUUUCUUGUUUUUAGGGUUAGUAUAUAAAAAAAUUGAUUAGUGGAUAUGAAAAAGUGUUAUGUAUUGAAUCAUUUGGGCAGGCGAGAGAUGCGAGAGAAAGACUGAUGGGUGAGGGGUUUGAAGAUAAAGAAAGUGAAGAUCAUGAAGAGAUCAGCUAAACCAAGAGACUUCAUACACAUGAUAUAAAUGAUAUUUUCAUAAUAGUAAUGUUGUUUUCGAUAAUAGUAAUGACUAAAGAGGAAAUGUAUGUUCACAUGUACGUGCACAUGAGUUUUGGCCUCUAUUGUGUCUCCAUAUACAUUAUAUGAUCUUCCCCCUUAUAGAAGGAAGAUAAUCAUUAAUCAUAUGAUAUUGAGCAAAGUUUUUAAAAAGUUAUUAAGAGAAUUCUAAGGAUUAAUGCUCAUAAGAAAUAUGACGAUUACACAACUAGGAACUUGUAGAUUCACAAACCCUUACUUUUGUCAGAAUUGCAUGUAGUAGUUGUGAUCUCUAUAGUACUCCUCUAUGUCGUCCGCUAACAAUAUGGUCCUAGUCCAGAGAGCUUAGACCAUCUCCAAAGGGGGAUUUAAACUGGGGUUCUAAGGUUUAAAAUUAGAUUUAAAUCAAAAUACCUAAUAUUGCUUCGAACAGUGUUCUGAACUAAGGAGUUUUAGAACCCCUAAGAGAUGCUAACGUGUCAGCCGCUGAGUGCUUCCUACAUUAUCGCAGUUUGAUGGUAUUUGUGGUCUUCAAAUGUUUGGUUUCUUCUCACCCUAUAUAGUUCAGGUAACAAAUCUAAAUCCAAGUCUUGUUCUUCUUCAUUCAAACCUAUCCAUGGUGUUAGAGCAACCCAACGGUAAAGAAACCCAAUUGGAGUUUUUAGUAAUAAAGUAAUAAUAUUUUAGAAAUAAUUUAGUUUUAUAUUUAAAUUUAAAUUUUAAAUAAAAAAUGGACCACUAAAUGAAGAACAUGUGUAGAGACAAUUUUUUAUGAGUACCUUGUUUUAGAAACGAUUCUAUGUCUCUCUCUUCCUUUUUCAUUUUUUUUAUUUGUUUAAUAAUUUAGGUACUCCUAAAAAACCACCAUUGUGGAUGGUCUUAACUCUUACACAACUUAAUCCUCCUCUACAGGCCACUGAAGUUCUUGACCCAAACCAUCUCGUUGAAUACUGGAACCACAAGAACCAAACUACAUGAGACUCAAAAGAUCACUUCAUAUCAUCAAACUGUUCCGUAAGUUUAACCCAAAGGACGGAGACUAUCAGCUAAAGCAGUAUCUUCGUUACCAAUUAAUCGGCGUAGUGAGAAAUCAAGCGACGAAGCAGCAGCACACACCAAGAAUCAUUUGACAUGGCAACAUAUUCCAAUGACCAAGAUCAUUCUCAUCCUUUAUCAUGUCUUGUGAUCAUAGCUUCUGUUUCUGCUGUGUAUUGAUUUGUGACCUUAAUUCAACACUAUCGAACUUUUUCUUCAUUACUAUCGCAACAUGGUCCGAUGAGGCGAUGACUAAAAUGUUCAUACAUUUUGCUAUACAUUUUGGGGCUGUUUACACCUAAGAGCAUCUUUAUCGGUGGUUUCUUAGGCUAAAUCUUAGGGUAUAAUGAAUUAAAAAUAAAUGAGAAAAGAGUGAUAAUGUUAAGUAACGUUCCUUAACUAAGAAACAUUUAUUCACCUAAGAGGCGGACAUGUGUCAAUAAAUGCCCGAUUUUAUUGUCUUUUUCACGUUUCUCUUUCUCUCUCUCUUUCGCGAUGUCACUGAAGAGAUGAAAACCAGAAACAAUUUCAAGCAAAUCGGAGGUAUCGCCGACGUUAAUUAUCUCCGGCCGUCGUUCCGGCGUUAGCUCAUCAUCUCCACUGAUGCUGGUUGUCGAGGGCGUCUUCGGUUCACCAAAUCGGCGAUUCCUGGCUUACGAAAUCGGGGAUAAUUGCAGGAGAUCUUCGAGUUUCGAUUCGAAUCGGUGACAAUCGGUUUGUCAAGGUAGGAAUGUCUCUCUACUUGUGUGAAUUGAUGUGAUUUUAGGUUUUUAAAAUUAGGGUUCGUCGGAUUUGGAAAGUAGGGUUCGUGGAAUUGGGGAAAAAGGAAUUCAUUUUCUUUGUAUAAUCUGGGUAAUUUGAAUCAUGAAUGAAUGUCUCUAUGUAUUCUUCUAUAGCAACAAAAAUCUUAAUCUGGGUAAGAUUCUUCCAUUUUGUUUAUAGUCAGUGUUGUUUAUUUGUCUCUAUGUAUUUUUAUAUAGCAACAAAAAUUGUCAUGUGAAUGGAAAAAAAUGAUACAUUGUAUAUUGAAGUUUUGAACCCAUUUAUUUUUCAUCUUUGAUGCGUCUGACUUCCAAGUCUUCUUCCCAUGUUGCGAGCAAAGUCUUCUUCUGUUAAGACUUCAAAUAGCUCCAAUAGACAUAUAAAAUAAAUGCUUUGUUAGAAAACGAUAUACAAUUAUUAUUUUGUUUGACGGGAAAACUAUAGUUACUUAGAUAAGGGGAUACAUGCUGCUGAGUACCACUCAAUUGUGAGAAUGCCUUUUGGUGAAUUUUCCAGGAAAUGCAAAGAUCUCAGUAGUAUUGGUGACACAGGUAAUGUACUGUUUUUUCUGUAGGUGUGUCACAGUGAGGAUUGUGAAAUGGUCUAUUGAGUUUUAUCUAAUCAUGAUUCUGGUUUUGAUGUUAUGAUUUUGCAGUUGUGAUCUCUGUGACAAAAGAAGGGGUGAAGUUUUCAACAGUAGGCCAAGAUCUUUCACUUCGGAUCUAUCAGUUUGAUUGGGAAUAAAGCUGCAAGGAAAAAGAUCAUGAGUAUCUGAAAUUUAGUUGAUGUUAGAAAGUUUGGAGACCACAAGUACUCAUUUUAUGCUUUGUACACCAUGUAUCAUUGGAUUGCUUUGCUAUAAAUAUCACCAUGUAUUACACUAUAUUUUUCAUUCCCUUUUGUUAUCUUUUAUUCAAAUCAAUACAAAACUCUCUUUCUCUUUUCUUCUUACAAUCUGAAGAACAAAAAUCUAAACCAACGAGAGUUCUUGUUCUUUAAACAACCCUUGUUUUUUGAGUUAAGCCUUGUUCUUUUCACAAGACUUCAUAAACCAAAUCCAAGCAUUCAUAUUUUCUUUUCACACCAAUGUCUUGUUCUCAAACCAAAUCCAAACCUUGUUCUUUUCUUUUUACUAAAAAAAAUCCAAAAACAAUUCUACUUCAAACCAAAAAAAUCCAUCACUAUAUAUUUAUGUUAUAAAUUGUAUCUCAUGUAUUAAUUUUUUAAUUUGCAACAAUUAUUAAAUGUUCUAUAAUUAUAAAUUUUAUUUUUAUAUUAAUAACUUUUUUUAAGAACCACAUGUUAAGAGCCUACCAUUAAUCAUACAAAAAUCUUAACUCAAAAAUACUAUCUCUUAACAAUCACUUUCACAAAUAAAUUACUUAAAUACUAGAUUUUAACCCGCGGUACACCGCGGGAUGAUUUAAUUUUAAAGUUAGUAUAAAAGUAUUUUGUAAAUUGUAUCUCCUUAUAACAUAUUUAUUUAUAUUAUAGUUUACAAUUGUUAUUAAGUAACGGUAUACCACGAGUCCACGAGAUAAUUAUUAAUAAACUGAGGAUUUAACCCGUAUUAAAGCGGUAUAUAAAUAUUGAUUCAAAUUCAUCCGCCAUAUAAAUCAUUUCCGAAAUAUAACCCGUUCCGUAAUUUCUUAACCCGUCCUGUGAUUUGUAUUAAAAAAAAUAAGGAUUAAAUCCGUAUUGAAGCGGCGGAUUAAUGAUAUUUUAAUCUUUUUAUUAUUGUUGAUUCAAAAACCCGUCCCGCUAAACCCAUCCCGCCAAAAAACUCAUUUAUUUUAUUAAUGUUUUUAUUUAUGAUAUGAUUCUGAAUCAUUGUCUAAAUAUUUUAAUCGAUGUAGAACGUUGAACACACAUUUUCGUCAAUUGGAUAAUAUAUGUCCGUUUUAAAAAUUUCAAAUCACAGUAUAUGCAGAAAAAAAAUUGAUUUUUUUUUUACUUUAUGUAUUAUAUGAUGAUUCAAAACAGUUAAAAACAAAUCAAACAAAGAUGAUAGGAGAAUCAUAAUUAUAAAUCUUAAUCAAAUCUUCUAAAAAUCUAAAUUAUUAAAUAUGGAAUAUCCGGUGUAUGAGUUGGGUUAAAUAUAACCCGACCCAACAAAUUUUUUGUGAAGAAAUUUUUAAAAUGGGUCGGAUAUCCGAUAUACCCGAAAGCUUUUUUACCCAUCCGUCACAAAAAGUGCUGCGAUUAUACUAGUAUAGAUUCCUAAGAUUAAUUUCUAAGAGACCACCUAUAAUCACGCUCUAAGAUGCUUUUAAAAAAGUUUGAAUCGGUUAAAGCAAAUUAAAGAAAGCUUUUUUUUUUUUGUUUGUGUUUGUAGGAGUAGCAUGAUACAAUAGGCAACGACGCUAAAUUCCAAAUGAAAAUUUACUUUAAACUUUGAUGGAGGGAAAAAAAACGUUCAAAAGAGCAAACAAUUAUCGAAAAACAGUGAGAAAACACGAGGAGUGGAUUAAAAUUUUAGAUUCGCUCACAACUUCACAUGAUAAACGGAAGCAUUUUUUAAAAAACAUUUUAGUGCCUUGUAGAGAAAGAAACAACCAUAUGUUACUAUAUAAUCCCCGUGAUCUUAGGGGAAGAAGAAGCAGAGAGAAUGGAUUCGGUGGAGAAGGGAUUGCUUGUGGUUAACGACGGAGAACAAGUAAACACGAAAGAUGUUUUUUUACGGGAGAUGAAGAAACUUAGUUACAUUGCCGGUCCGAUGAUUGCGGUGCACUCGUCUAUGUAUGUUCUUCAGGUGAUCUCGAUAAUGAUGGUUGGUCAUCUCGGUGAGCUUUUCCUCUCUAGCACCGCCAUUGCUGUUUCUUUCUGCGGCGUCACUGGUUUCAGCGUCGUCGUAUGUCUCUUUCUUGAUCGCUAUCUCUCUCUUUAUUUACGUUAAUUAGCUCAAGAUAGAUUCUAAAUUGUUAAUCGCACAGUUUGGAUUGGCUAGUGCAUUGGAGACUUUGUGUGGUCAAGCUAAUGGAGCUAAGCAAUUCGAGAAGCUUGGUUAUCAUACUUACACAGGGAUUGUCUCUUUGUUUCUUGUGUGUAUUCCUUUGUCUGUGCUAUGGAGUUACAUGGGUGAUAUACUUUCUCUUAUUGGACAAGAUCCUAUGGUUGCUCAACAAGCAGGAAAGUAUGCAACUUGGCUCAUACCCGCGCUCUUUGGUUACGCUACUUUGCAACCGCUUGUUCGGUUUUUCCAAGCGCAGAGUCUGAUUUUGCCUUUGAUUAUGAGCUCAGUCUCUUCUCUCUGUGUCCACGUUGUCCUCUGUUGGAGCUUGGUCUUGGAAGCCUCGGUGCAGCUAUUGCGAUCGGCGUUUCUUACUGGUUGAACGUGACUGUUCUUGGAUUAUACAUGACGUUUUCUUCCAGCUGUAGCAAGAGCCGUGCAACUAUCUCCAUGAGUUUGUUUAAAGGAAUGAGAGAGUUUUUCCGGUUUGGAAUCCCAUCUGCGUCUAUGAUUUGGUAUAUCAACUUCUCUUCAUGCCUCUUUUGGUUUAGUCAUAGAGUUCUUGACAUGAAUCCAUUUGGUGUUGUUGGAUUAGCCUCGAGUGGUGGUCAUUCGAAUUUCUGCUCUUACUCUCUGGAAUCUUACCAAAUCCGAAGCUAGAAGCCUCUGUUCUCUCAAUCUGGUAUGUUCUUUUCAUCUUCUAAUGAUUUUGUGUUGGAAUGGACUAUUAUCAUAUACAACUCAGUUGCUUUCAUUCUUGUUUAACAGUCUAUCAACAAUCAACAUCGUGUACCAAAUAGCAGAUAGUCUCGCCGCAGCAGCAAGGUUCUUUCUUGCUCAAUUUCCCAAUCUUGUAACAUGGGAGCUAUCUAUCUAAAAUAUCUCUCUGUUGUUGACUUGUUGUUGUUGUAGUACAAGAGUUGCAAACGAAUUAGGAGCUGGAAAACCAAAACAAGCUCGAAUGGCGGUUUAUACAGUGAUGGUCAUUACAGGUGUAGAAUCAAUAAUGGUCAGCGCAAUAGUUUUUAGUGCAAGAAACGUUUAUGGAUACAUAUUCAGCUCUGAAACCGAAGUAGUGGUUUAUGUAAGAUCAAUGGCUCCAUUGGUUGCUUUAUCGGUCAUAUUCGAUGCUCUUCAAAGUUUUAAAAACGUUCUUAAGAGAAUUCUAAGGAAUGCUCAUAAUAAAUAUGACGAGAGUACACAAUUAGGAACUUGUAGAUUCACAAAACCUUACUUUUGUCAGAAUGGUAUGUAGCAGUUGUGAGUGGGUUAAAAAAAAAAGCAAACAAAUAUUUUCUUUGACUUUUAGGUUAUGAAAUUGAAAAAAAAUGGAUUUGAAGAUUAAAAUUUGAUUGGUGCACAACAACAUAUAAUUAAAUUUUUAUUUAUUUAUUCAGUUGAUACCUUGAUGAGGAAGUAACACAAGAACAUAUUCAAAUAGAAUCAACAAUGAAAUUAAUUGAUUUUGUAACAGACCGCUUAACUAAUUAAAAAGUUAAGAUUUUAAUAUUUCAACACGAUUUGCAUAUGAAGUUUUUUUUUGUUUUUUUAACAAAGACUUUUCUUAAUUUGCUAUAAUCAAUGAGCCAUUAGAAGAGAGAAUUUAUGGCGGCUGAAUGAGAAAGGACGACGCAUGUAUCUGUAUCUCGAGGUGUAGAAUCAAAAUACGACACGCCGCUAAAUUCCACAGAGAAGAUAAUCAUAAAAUAUUAGUAUAAAAAGAGUAUUGGAUUGAUUCGGAGAAAGAUUCCGAUUGAAACAGAUCUCAGGGAAGAAGAAGAAGAAGAAGCAGAGAGAAUGGAUUCGGCGGAGAAGGGCUUGCUUGUUGUGAGCCACGGAGAAGAAGUAAACAAGAAAGAUGGGUUUUUGCGGGAAAUGAAGAGGCUUGGUUACAUCGCCGGUCCGAUGAUUGCUGUGAACUCGUCUAUGUAUGUUCUUCAGGUGAUAUCGAUUAUGAUGGUUGGUCAUCUCGGUGAGCUUUUCCUCUCUAGCACCGCCAUUGCUGUUUCUUUCUGCAGCGUCACCGGUUUCAGCGUCGUCGUAUGUCUCUUUCUUGAUCUUUCUCUUUUCUUUGAUUAGUUUGAGAUUCUAAAGUGUGACUGUGAUUGAUCACACAGUUUGGAUUGGCUAGUGCAUUGGAGACUUUGUGUGGUCAAGCUAAUGGAGCUAAGCAAUUCGAGAAGCUUGGUGUUCAUACUUACACAGGGAUUGUCUCUUUAUUUCUUGUGUGUAUUCCUCUGUCUGUGCUAUGGAGUUACAUGGGUGAUAUACUUUCUCUGAUUGGACAAGAUCCUAUGGUUGCUCAACAAGCAGGAAAGUUUGCGACUUGGCUCAUACCCGCGCUCUUUGGUUACGCUAUUUUGCAGCCUCUUGUUCGGUUUUUCCAAGCGCAGAGUCUGAUUUUGCCUUUGAUUAUGAGCUCAGUCUCUUCUCUCUGUGUCCACGUUGUCCUCUGUUGGAGCUUGGUCUUUAAGUUUGGUCUUGGGAGCGUCGGUGCAGCUAUUGCGAUCGGUGUUUCUUACUGGCUAAACGUGAUUGUUCUUGGAUUAUA
This 8778-nucleotide long non-coding RNA is filed under the name Arabidopsis lyrata. RNAcentral describes it as "long non-coding RNA (ALYR_LNC002852)". The record is from RNAcentral. Lineage: Eukaryota; Viridiplantae; Streptophyta; Magnoliopsida; Brassicales; Brassicaceae.